Molecule: ribosomal RNA, 2026 nt
Filed under: Staphylococcus aureus Sau 95
Lineage: Bacteria; Bacillati; Bacillota; Bacilli; Caryophanales; Staphylococcaceae
Also listed under: 1 other name
Description: bacterial LSU rRNA
Rfam family: Bacterial large subunit ribosomal RNA
Source: RNAcentral
UUGGAGGUAGAGCACUGUUUGGACGAGGGGCCCCUCUCGGGUUACCGAAUUCAGACAAACUCCGAAUGCCAAUUAAUUUAACUUGGGAGUCAGAACAUGGGUGAUAAGGUCCGUGUUCGAAAGGGAAACAGCCCAGACCACCAGCUAAGGUCCCAAAAUAUAUGUUAAGUGGAAAAGGAUGUGGCGUUGCCCAGACAACUAGGAUGUUGGCUUAGAAGCAGCCAUCAUUUAAAGAGUGCGUAAUAGCUCACUAGUCGAGUGACACUGCGCCGAAAAUGUACCGGGGCUAAACAUAUUACCGAAGCUGUGGAUUGUCCUUUGGACAAUGGUAGGAGAGCGUUCUAAGGGCGUUGAAGCAUGAUCGUAAGGACAUGUGGAGCGCUUAGAAGUGAGAAUGCCGGUGUGAGUAGCGAAAGACGGGUGAGAAUCCCGUCCACCGAUUGACUAAGGUUUCCAGAGGAAGGCUCGUCCGCUCUGGGUUAGUCGGGUCCUAAGCUGAGGCCGACAGGCGUAGGCGAUGGAUAACAGGUUGAUAUUCCUGUACCACCUAUAAUCGUUUUAAUCGAUGGGGGGACGCAGUAGGAUAGGCGAAGCGUGCGAUUGGAUUGCACGUCUAAGCAGUAAGGCUGAGUAUUAGGCAAAUCCGGUACUCAUUAAGGCUGAGCUGUGAUGGGGAGAAGACAUUGUGUCUUCGAGUCGUUGAUUUCACACUGCCGAGAAAAGCCUCUAGAUAGAAAAUAGGUGCCCGUACCGCAAACCGACACAGGUAGUCAAGAUGAGAAUUCUAAGGUGAGCGAGCGAACUCUCGUUAAGGAACUCGGCAAAAUGACCCCGUAACUUCGGGAGAAGGGGUGCUCUUUAGGGUUAACGCCCAGAAGAGCCGCAGUGAAUAGGCCCAAGCGACUGUUUAUCAAAAACACAGGUCUCUGCUAAACCGUAAGGUGAUGUAUAGGGGCUGACGCCUGCCCGGUGCUGGAAGGUUAAGAGGAGUGGUUAGCUUCUGCGAAGCUACGAAUCGAAGCCCCAGUAAACGGCGGCCGUAACUAUAACGGUCCUAAGGUAGCGAAAUUCCUUGUCGGGUAAGUUCCGACCCGCACGAAAGGCGUAACGAUUUGGGCACUGUCUCAACGAGAGACUCGGUGAAAUCAUAGUACCUGUGAAGAUGCAGGUUACCCGCGACAGGACGGAAAGACCCCGUGGAGCUUUACUGUAGCCUGAUAUUGAAAUUCGGCACAGCUUGUACAGGAUAGGUAGGAGCCUUUGAAACGUGAGCGCUAGCUUACGUGGAGGCGCUGGUGGGAUACUACCCUAGCUGUGUUGGCUUUCUAACCCGCACCACUUAUCGUGGUGGGAGACAGUGUCAGGCGGGCAGUUUGACUGGGGCGGUCGCCUCCUAAAAGGUAACGGAGGCGCUCAAAGGUUCCCUCAGAAUGGUUGGAAAUCAUUCAUAGAGUGUAAAGGCAUAAGGGAGCUUGACUGCGAGACCUACAAGUCGAGCAGGGUCGAAAGACGGACUUAGUGAUCCGGUGGUUCCGCAUGGAAGGGCCAUCGCUCAACGGAUAAAAGCUACCCCGGGGAUAACAGGCUUAUCUCCCCCAAGAGUUCACAUCGACGGGGAGGUUUGGCACCUCGAUGUCGGCUCAUCGCAUCCUGGGGCUGUAGUCGGUCCCAAGGGUUGGGCUGUUCGCCCAUUAAAGCGGUACGCGAGCUGGGUUCAGAACGUCGUGAGACAGUUCGGUCCCUAUCCGUCGUGGGCGUAGGAAAUUUGAGAGGAGCUGUCCUUAGUACGAGAGGACCGGGAUGGACAUACCUCUGGUGUACCAGUUGUCGUGCCAACGGCAUAGCUGGGUAGCUAUGUGUGGACGGGAUAAGUGCUGAAAGCAUCUAAGCAUGAAGCCCCCCUCAAGAUGAGAUUUCCCAACUUCGGUUAUAAGAUCCCUCAAAGAUGAUGAGGUUAAUAGGUUCGAGGUGGAAGCAUGGUGACAUGUGGAGCUGACGAAUACUAAUCGAUCGAAGACUUAAUCAA